RNAcentral lists this ribosomal RNA (328 nucleotides) under uncultured eukaryote. RNAcentral's name for it is "partial 18S ribosomal RNA". It matches the Rfam family "Eukaryotic small subunit ribosomal RNA", at positions 1470 to 1796 of the family's 1831-position model. The record is from RNAcentral.
CCCUUAGAUGUCCUGGGCCGCACGCGCGCUACACUGAUGCAUGCAACGAGUUUAUAACCUUGGCCUGAAAGGUCUGGGUAAUCUUUUGAACGUGCAUCGUGAUAGGGAUAGAUUAUUGCAAUUGUUAAUCUUGAACGAGGAAUUCCUAGUAAACGCGAGUCAUCAGCUCGCAUUGAUUACGUCCAUGCCCUUUGUACACACCGCCCGUCGCACCUACCGAUUGAAUGGUUCGGUGAAGAUCUCGGACUUCGAUAUUUAUUCUUUAUUGAGUUUAUAUUGUGGGAAGUUAUCUAAACCUCAUCAUUUAGAGGAAGGUGAAGUCGUAACA